UACGAAAGCAUGGGGAGCAAACAGGAUUAGAUACCCUGGUAGUCCAUGCCGUAAACGAUGUCUACUAGCCGUUGGGGCCUUUGAGGCUUUAGUGGCGCAGCUAACGCGAUAAGUAGACCGCCUGGGGAGUACGGUCGCAAGACUAAAACUCAAAUGAAUUGACGGGGGCCCGCACAAGCGGUGGAGCAUGUGGUUUAAUUCGAUGCAACGCGAAGAACCUUACCUGGUCUUGACAUAGUAAGAACUUUCCAGAGAUGGAUUGGUGCCUUCGGGAACUUACAUACAGGUGCUGCAUGGCUGUCGUCAGCUCGUGUCGUGAGAUGUUGGGUUAAGUCCCGCAACGAGCGCAACCCUUUUCCUUAUUUGCCAGCGGGUUAAGCCGGGAAUUUUAAGGAUACUGCCAGUGACAAACUGGAGGAAGGCGGGGACGACGUCAAGUCAUCAUGGCCCUUACGACCAGGGCUACACACGUGCUACAAUGGUCGGUACAAAGGGUUGCUACCUAGCGAUAGGAUGCUAAUCUCAAAAAGCCGAUCGUAGUCCGGAUUGGAGUCUGCAACUCGGCUCCAUGAAGUCGGAAUCGCUAGUAAUCGCGGAUCAGAAUGCCGCGGUGAAUACGUUCCCGGGCCUUGUACACACCGCCCGUCACACCAUGGGAAUUUGUUGCACCAGAAGUAGGUAGUCUAACCGCAAGGAGGACGCUUACCACGGUGUGGCCGAUGACUGGGGUGAAGUCGUAACAAGGUAACC
This 750-nucleotide ribosomal RNA is filed under the name uncultured bacterium. RNAcentral's name for it is "bacterial SSU rRNA". It matches the Rfam family "Bacterial small subunit ribosomal RNA", at positions 752 to 1501 of the family's 1533-position model. The record is from RNAcentral.